GCUUGUUGAAUUAUUGUAGAAAUUAUUAGCUGAUUCAUCACUAUGAAAAUUCAGGAAUGCCAGCUAUAAUGUACUAUGCUGAUCAGGUGUCUGCUCUGAUUUUGGCAUCAAUGUGGUGACCUCCCAGGAGCAGGGGACCACCGGGUUGCCUAAGGAGGGGUGAACCAGCCCAGGUCAGAAAUGGAGCAGGUCAAAACUCCCGUGCUGAUCAGUAGUAGUAUCGCACUUGUGAACAGUCACUGCCCUCCAGUGUGGGCAACAUAGUAAGAUCCU
Cercocebus atys (sooty mangabey) is the source of this 273-nucleotide unclassified non-coding RNA. It matches the Rfam family "Metazoan signal recognition particle RNA". From Rfam's summary of the family: The signal recognition particle (SRP) is a universally conserved ribonucleoprotein. It is involved in the co-translational targeting of proteins to membranes. The record is from Ensembl. Lineage: Eukaryota; Metazoa; Chordata; Mammalia; Primates; Cercopithecidae.